Molecule: ribosomal RNA, 500 nt
Filed under: uncultured spirochete
Lineage: Bacteria; Pseudomonadati; Spirochaetota; Spirochaetia; Spirochaetales
Description: bacterial SSU rRNA
Rfam family: Bacterial small subunit ribosomal RNA
Source: RNAcentral
CCUACGGGAGGCAGCAGCUAAGAAUCUUCCGCAAUGGGGGAAACCCUGACGGAGCGACGCCGCGUGGACGAAGAAGGCCGUGAGGUUGUAAAGUCCUUUUCUUGGCGAAGAAUAAGGCGAGGAGUGGAACGCCUUGCCGAUGACGUUAGUCAAGGAAUAAGCCCCGGCCAAUUACGUGCCAGCAGCCGCGGUAACACGUAUGGGGCAAGCGUUGUUCGGAAUCACUGGGCGUAAAGGGCGUGUAGGCGGUUUUGCAAGCCUGGCGUGAAAGGCUUCGGCUCAACCGAAGGAUGGCGCUGGGAACUGCGAGACUUGAGUUCUGGAGAGGGAGCUGGAAUUCCUGGUGUAGGGGUGAAAUCUGUAGAGAUCAGGAAGAACGCCGGUGGCGAAGGCGAGCUCCUGGACAGAGACUGACGCUGAGGCGCGAAAGCGUGGGGAGCGAACAGGAUUAGAUACCCUGGUAGUCCACGCUGUAAACGAUGUGCACCAGGUGUUGGGGC